This 451-nucleotide ribosomal RNA is filed under the name uncultured bacterium. RNAcentral describes it as "partial 16S ribosomal RNA". The record is from RNAcentral.
UGUGUACAAGGCCNGAGAACGUAUUCACCGCACCUUGCUGAUAUGCGGUUACUAGCAACUCCAACUUCAUGCAGGCGGGUUUCAGCCUGCAAUCCGAACUGAGGACAGCUUUGGGGAUUAGCUCCAGUUCACACUGUUGCAACCUAUUGUUCUGUCCAUUGUAGCGUGUGUGUAGCCCAAGAUAUAAAGGCCAUGCUGACUUGACGUCAUCCCCACCUUCCUCCCCGUUUCGCGGGGCAGUCUCGCUAGAAAAUUUAACUAGCAACAAGGGUUGCGCUCGUUGCAGGACUUAACCAAACACCUCACGGCACGAGCUGACGACAGCCAUGCAGCACCUGUGCAAACUCCUGACUUAACAGGUCGUUUCCCUUUCGGUUCACUACUUCAUGCAUGUCAAAUCUUGGUAGUCUCGUGUAGCAUCGAAUAAACCACACGCUCCGCUGCUUGUGCG